This is a non-coding RNA of Hydra vulgaris (swiftwater hydra), 554 nucleotides long. Lineage: Eukaryota; Metazoa; Cnidaria; Hydrozoa; Anthoathecata; Hydridae. The record is from RefSeq and is a predicted model, not a curated record.
CCUCUAGACAAAGAGCGCGGAUUUCAGAUAAUUAACUCACAUAAAUCAGAUAGCAUUAACGCGUCGAAGAUUACAAGGAAGCGAAGACAAUUUAAUUUCCUUGGGUUUCCUUUGCAGAGGUUUGCCCCCAAUAGACUUCCCACAAAUGGAGAAAUGCUCAGAAGGUACUACUGGCUUAAUCUCAAUAAAAACACAAGUACCACACAGAUCAACGUCAAAAUUGGCUGCCCAGUUGCUUCUGGUAAGACUUAUUUGCGAUGUUCCAGAUUUGCUGACGGAGUGGGCGGAAAGAACGCCAAGCAGUUAAAUACAAACGUCUGUAUUCUGAGGGAGCUUGUCAAUUUUUAGGAACAAGCUGGGUUUAACGAUACUUUCACUGUGACGAAACAAACUAUAAAGAACAGAAUUACCAAGAAAAUUAAAGAGUAUCACACUCUAAAAAUGCUUAAAACACUAGAUUUGCCUGAGGGCAGCUACAAAAAGAAGGUGGACAGCUUUUUGAAAGAACGAAGUGCGCUUUUUUUCUAUUUAAAAAUCAAACAUUUACGAUUUAA